Molecule: ribosomal RNA, 445 nt
Filed under: uncultured bacterium
Lineage: Bacteria
Description: bacterial SSU rRNA
Rfam family: Bacterial small subunit ribosomal RNA
Source: RNAcentral
AUCGCCUGACCCCCGCGGUAUCUCGUGGGUAACCUGCCUGUAAGACUGGGAUAACUCCGGGAAACCGGAGCUAAUACCGGAUAACACCGAGGACCUCAUGGUUCUUGGUUGAAAGAUGGCUUCGGCUGUCACUUACAGAUGGGCCCGCGGCGCAUUAGCUAGUUGGUGAGGUAACGGCUCACCAAGGCGACGAUGCGUAGCCGACCUGAGAGGGUGAUCGGCCACACUGGGACUGAGACACGGCCCAGACUCCUACGGGAGGCAGCAGUAGGGAAUCUUCCGCAAUGGACGAAAGUCUGACGGAGCAACGCCGCGUGAGCGAUGAAGGUUUUCGGAUCGUAAAACUCUGUUGUUAGGGAAGAACAAGUACCGGAGUAACUGCCCGUACCUUGACGGUACCUGACCCGAAAGCCCCGGGUAACUACGUGCCCGCCCGCCGCGGUAA